RNAcentral lists this ribosomal RNA (486 nucleotides) under uncultured bacterium. RNAcentral's name for it is "bacterial SSU rRNA". It matches the Rfam family "Bacterial small subunit ribosomal RNA", at positions 29 to 514 of the family's 1533-position model. The record is from RNAcentral.
AGCGAACGUUUGCGGCGGGCCUAACACAUGCAAGUCGAACGCACUAGCAAUAGUGAGUGGCGCACGGGUGCGUAACACGUGGGUAAUCAACCCUUCAGCUUGGGAUAACGACUUGAAAGGGUCGCUAAUACCGGAUACGGCGAGAGAGGCUUCGGCAUUUCUCGAGAAAGCCUCGCAAGGGGCACUGAAGGACGAGCCUGCGGCCCAUCAGCUAGUUGGUGAGGUAAGAGCUCACCAAGGCGAAGACGGGUAGCUGGUCUGAGAGGAUGAUCAGCCACACUGGAACUGAGACACGGUCCAGACUCCUACGGGAGGCAGCAGUGGGGAAUAUUGCGCAAUGGGCGAAAGCCUGACGCAGCCACGCCGCGUGAGCGAUGAAGGCCUUCGGUCGUAAAGCUCUGUGGGGAGAGGACGAAGAAAGCCCGUGAAGAGCGGGCCGUUGACGGGUAUCUCCUUAGCAAGCACCGGCUAACUCCGUGCCAGCAG